Molecule: ribosomal RNA, 552 nt
Filed under: uncultured bacterium
Lineage: Bacteria
Description: bacterial SSU rRNA
Rfam family: Bacterial small subunit ribosomal RNA
Source: RNAcentral
ACGGUAGCUUACCAGAAAGGGACGGCUAACUACGUGCCAGCAGCCGCGGUAAUACGUAGGUCCCGAGCGUUGUCCGGAUUUAUUGGGCGUAAAGCGAGCGCAGGCGGUUUGAUAAGUCUGAAGUUAAAGGCUGUGGCUCAACCAUAGUUCGCUUUGGAAACUGUCAAACUUGAGUGCAGAAGGGGAGAGUGGAAUUCCAUGUGUAGCGGUGAAAUGCGUAGAUAUAUGGAGGAACACCGGUGGCGAAAGCGGCUCUCUGGUCUGUAACUGACGCUGAGGCUCGAAAGCGUGGGGAGCGAACAGGAUUAGAUACCCUGGUAGUCCACGCCGUAAACGAUGAGUGCUAGGUGUUGGAUCCUUUCCGGGAUUCAGUGCCGCAGCUAACGCAUUAAGCACUCCGCCUGGGGAGUACGACCGCAAGGUUGAAACUCAAAGGAAUUGACGGGGGCCCGCACAAGCGGUGGAGCAUGUGGUUUAAUUCGAAGCAACGCGAAGAACCUUACCAGGUCUUGACAUCCCGAUGCUAUUUCUAGAGAUAGAAAGUUACUUCGG